Molecule: long non-coding RNA, 1614 nt
Organism: Xenopus laevis (African clawed frog)
Lineage: Eukaryota; Metazoa; Chordata; Amphibia; Anura; Pipidae
Exons: 5
Source: RefSeq, a predicted model, not a curated record
ACACUUGAUACAGUAGAAGGGACACAGAUAUUGAGCUUGAUGCCUUAGGGUCCCUUUCCAUAGUACUGGGUUGCCCUUUAACCCUGACCGGUUGCCUCUUUGUAUUUCUGCGAGACAGUGAUGCCCAUAGAGACGCUUGUAUUGGCCUGAUGUCUGUGCAUGUCCCGCGCCUCUUUGCCAGAGGGAAUAAGCCUGAUUCUGACAGCCCUACUUCAUAAUUCAUAGCAGGGAACGUAACCAGUUACGUAGUUACUACAGGGAGGCUUACUGCAGCCGCUUCCUUCCCUCUGUCGUUUGGCAAAUGGUGUUCGGCAGUUGUCUCAUUUGUUCAGUCACAGACACCGACCCGUGAGCACCAUCAGGAGAGAUCAGCUUAUCCCAUGUGGCCCCAAUAACAAGGAUAAAGAGAGUGAAUGUGCCUCCUCCAGCUGCCGUCACAGCGGAGGAUUCCUUUCCUGAAUCCUCGCCUUCUCCUGCAGCAGCGGGCAGCCUCCAGACUCAUGGACCUGUUGGAUGGAAUGCUGUGGGGGCUGCCGCUGGACAUGCUGCUGCUGUCCGGACUCUCUACCUUGGGCACAGCACUGAGUAGGAGACAAGAUGCUGUUUCCAAUCUUUAUAUCCUGAAUCCUAACUGGCUGGGAGGAUUCAGCAGCGGGCACUGCCAGCCCCGGGCACACUCAGUUGGGCACAGUGAUGGGGAGCAAGUAGCAUGCACGCCUCAAUGAUCCGGCUCUCCCAGUACCUGUUGCUGCUUGGAAUAGGGGAAGUGCUGCAGACUCACUGUCACUAGAAUAGCCAGGGAGGAGAAAUCAAGCACUGCAGGAUGGAUGGUCGCCUUUUUUGAAGAGGAGCGGAAGUGGAGUUUCGGAGCCGUAAAGACAGCUUGAAAAGUGAGAGUUCUGCAGCCAUUAUUCCUCAUGAAUUAGUCCGCACACGGCAGCUUGAGAGUGUGCACCUCAAGUUCAACCAGGAGUCUGGAGCACUCAUUCCACUUUGUUUGAAAGGUAGGCUGUUGCAUGGAAGGCACUUUACAUAUAAAAGCAUUACUGGAGAUACAGCAAUCACAUUUGUGUCUACUGGAGUAGAAGGAGCCUUUGCUACAGAGGAGCACCCAUAUGCAGCGCAUGGACCGUGGCUACAGAUUCUGUUGACAGAGGAGUUAGUUGAAAAAAUGCUGGAAGAUUUAGAAGAUUUAAGCUCUCUAGAGGAAAUGAAACUACCGAAGGAAUACAGCUGGCCAGAAAAAAAGCUGAAGAUCUCCAUUCUACCCAACACAGUAUUUGAUAACCCACUCAAUUAAAGGUGGAGUAGCGCUGACAUUUCUGUUAGAUACAGGGACAUCACAGUGGACUUUCCCCCCACUUUCAGCAGCUCCAUCACUGCUGUAAACAAAGCCAAAGGAAAGCAAUUACUGCACAAUCUCCGCAUCUAGAGACGACUGGAAUGUACGUGACAUUUCAGCCCCAUUUUAUAUUUUUAGCAUCCAGUGUCAAGGGUGUUUGGCUUCUGUUUACUACUGUGAGAGUCUUUUCAUUCAGACUCCCUCUGACAAGCAGGGCUUUCUGUCUAAUAUGACAAGGCAUAGUCUGGGCCUGAUCAUAAAUGUCUCGUAUU